RNAcentral lists this ribosomal RNA (332 nucleotides) under uncultured bacterium. RNAcentral describes it as "bacterial SSU rRNA". It matches the Rfam family "Bacterial small subunit ribosomal RNA", at positions 568 to 898 of the family's 1533-position model. The record is from RNAcentral.
CAUGUAGGCGGUCUGCUAAGUUCGGAGUGACAGUCACCAGCUUAACUGGUGAAGUGUUUCGAAAACUGGCUGACUUGAGAGCGAGAGAGGGACAUGGAAUUCCGGGUGGAGCAGUGAAAUGCGUAGAGAUCCGGAGGAACACCAAAGGCGAAGGCAGUGUUCUGGCUCGUUUCUGACGCUGAGGUGCGAAAGCCAGGGGAGCGAACGGGAUUAGAUACCCCGGUAGUCCUGGCCGUAAACGAUGACCACUAGGCGUGGGAGGGAUCGACCCCUUCCGUGCCGUAGUCAACACAUUAAGUGGUCCGCCUGGGGAGUACGGUCGCAAGACUAAA